Ailuropoda melanoleuca (giant panda) is the source of this 1021-nucleotide RNA transcript. RefSeq lists it as uncharacterized. The transcript is spliced from 2 exons. The record is from RefSeq and is a predicted model, not a curated record. Lineage: Eukaryota; Metazoa; Chordata; Mammalia; Carnivora; Ursidae.
AGAGGAGGUGGGAAGGGAGCCCCCACCUGGCGGCCCAGCCGCUGACCCCGCCCUGCCCUGCUCGCAGUGGCCCAGAGGAAGCCGUGGCUGGUGGGGCUGGGGGCCGUGCUGGUCAUCCUCUUCCUCAUCUUCGUCCUCACCAUGGUCUAUGCCAUCUGGUGCCGCCAGGCCCGUGACAGCAAUAAAGAGAAGGAAGAGGGGACCGUGAGAGUGGAAGAGAAAGAAGCAGAAGGCAACUGGGGGCUGAAGCAGGAGGAGAAAGAGGGGCCUCUCGACCAUGAAAGAGUGGCCAGCUCCUCUGAAUGAAGGCUUCCCACCUGCCUCCUCCAGGCAGGCCUCCCAGGAUUGCCCAAAGCCUGCUCCGCACCCUACAAGCAAAGACCUGGUGCUGGGGCCAGUGAAAUUAUUCCAUGUGGGGGUUCAGGUGAAGUGUCCCUGAACCAGGAGCGCUCAGGCCCCGCCCCAAGUCCCCCCUUUGCAUUUACUGGGUGUUUAUACACCCCCUUCCCAAGCCUCCUUUGCGCCAGUAAGAGGGAUGGUGGGGGGGGGGCGUCAAAGGCCCUGCGGUGUUUGUGGGUCCCAGAGGCGGUCCAGCCCCCCGGCUGUCUUGCUUUUGUUGCUCCUGGGCAUGAACUUUGAGCAGGGCCCAGCGCAGGGCGUUUCCUGGGAGACGAGGGGCCUCCCACCGUGUGCUGAUUUUCUGGUCACUGUCUGCUAGCUGUGCCUGGGUGCGGGUGCUGCGGGUGGGAGGAGACGCAGUGUCAUCACCCCCUUCUGUGCUGUGCUCCUGGUGACCGCUCCACAGGAGGCUUGAACUCCCAGCGUCUUUGCUGUGUGGCCCUAAGCAUGUAACUUAACCUCUCUGCAUAAGCUUCUUGUCCUGUAAAAGGGGGAGGAAAGUAACUUGAUCUUUUACAAGUUGUCAUGAGGAUUAAAUGAAAUAAUGUCCAUGAAAAUCUCGAGCACAGAACCCAGAACCCAAAAAGUGUCUAGUAAAUGUCAGCUUUUUGUUAUGCUGAAA